GAACAACUCUCAGCAACGGAUAUCUUGGCUCCUGCAACGAUGAAGAACGCAGCGAAAUGCGAUACGUAGUGUGAAUUGCAGAAUUCCGCGAAUCAUUGAGUCUUUGAACGCAAGUUGCGCCCGAGGCUUGACCAAGGGCAUCUCUGCCAGAGCGUCACC
This 159-nucleotide ribosomal RNA is filed under the name Hydrogonium croceum. RNAcentral's name for it is "5.8S ribosomal RNA". It matches the Rfam family "5.8S ribosomal RNA". From Rfam's summary of the family: 5.8S ribosomal RNA (5.8S rRNA) is a component of the large subunit of the eukaryotic ribosome. It is transcribed by RNA polymerase I as part of the 45S precursor that also contains 18S and 28S rRNA. Functionally, it is thought that 5.8S rRNA may be involved in ribosome translocation. The record is from RNAcentral. Lineage: Eukaryota; Viridiplantae; Streptophyta; Bryopsida; Pottiales; Pottiaceae.